Molecule: long non-coding RNA, 93 nt
Organism: Strigops habroptila (Kakapo)
Lineage: Eukaryota; Metazoa; Chordata; Aves; Psittaciformes; Psittacidae
Exons: 2
Source: RefSeq, a predicted model, not a curated record
CGGCGGCGCUGCCCUUGGCGCGGGACGUGGCCUGCAGAGCCUUCUGUCACCAACACAUUUCCCCACAUGUCAAGGUCUCGGUGGAGUCCUGGU